AUAAAAGCUGUGAAGAAGAGGAUUAGAGAAUAACUAUUACUAAGAGAGGAAAGUUCAUAGGCUGAAAGACUUUCUGUGAAAAGAUUCUUAAAGGUAGCUUUGGAGCUUCCUUACUGAAAUUUUAGUAGGUAAGGACGGUGGAUAACAUCGUUAAAUUUAUUAAGAGUCUGUAUUGUAAAAAUACAGGAAAAAAGGUGGUAACGCGCACUGUCGUCCUUUAA
Molecule: regulatory RNA element, 221 nt
Organism: Clostridium tetani E88
Lineage: Bacteria; Bacillati; Bacillota; Clostridia; Eubacteriales; Clostridiaceae
Rfam family: T-box leader
About the family: Uncharged tRNA acts as the effector for transcription antitermination of genes in the T-box leader family.
Source: Rfam